UGGGGGGUGGUCCGGGAUUUCUGGGCGUAAGAGCGCGCAGGCGGUCGUUCAAGUCGCGUGUGAAAGCCCCCGGCUCAACUGGGGAGGGUCACGCGAUACUGAUCGACUCGAAGGCAGGAGAGGGUAGUGGAAUUCCCGGUGUAGUGGUGAAAUGCGUAGAUAUCGGGAGGAACACCAGUGGCGAAGGCGGCUUCCUGGCCUGUUCUUGACGCUGAGGCGCGAAAGCUAGGGGAGCAAACGGGAUUAGAUACCCCGGUAGUCCUAGCCGUAAACGAUGGACACUAGGUGUUGGUGGUAUCAACCCCACCAGUGCCGAAGCUAGCGCAUUAAGUGUCCCGCCUGGGGAGUACGGCCGCAAGGCUAAAACUCAAAGGAAUUGACGGGGCCCCGCACAAGCAGCGGAGCGUGGGGUUUAAUUCGAUGCAACGCGAAGAACCUUACCAAGGCUUGACAUGACCAGGAAUCCGGCGGAAACGUCGGCGCCCCGCAAGGGGCCUGGCCACAGGUGUUGCAUGGCUGUCGUCAGCUCGUGUCGUGAGAUGUUGGGUUAAGUCCCGCAACGAGCGCAACCCCUAUCGUGUGUUGUAUCACUCACACGAGACUGCCGAGAGAAACUCGGAGGAAGGCGGGGAUGACGUCAAGUCAGCAUGGCCCUUACGUCUUGGGCUACACCCACGCUACAAUGGCCGGUACAACGGGCGGCGAAACCGCGAGGUGGAGCAAAUCCCUUAAAGCCGGUCUCAGUUCGGAUUGUAGGCUGCAACUCGCCUACAUGAAGCCGGAGUUGCUAGUAACCGCCGGUCAGCAUACGGCGGUGAAUAUGUUCCCGGGGCUUGUACACACCGCCCGUCACGUCAUGAAAGCUGGCAACACCCGAAGCCGGUGGGCCAACCCGCAAGGGAGGCAGCCGUCGAAAGUGGGGUCGGUGAUUGGGACGAAGUCGUAACAAGGUAAC
RNAcentral lists this ribosomal RNA (955 nucleotides) under uncultured bacterium. RNAcentral describes it as "bacterial SSU rRNA". It matches the Rfam family "Bacterial small subunit ribosomal RNA", at positions 534 to 1500 of the family's 1533-position model. The record is from RNAcentral.